Molecule: unclassified non-coding RNA, 117 nt
Organism: Macaca fascicularis (crab-eating macaque)
Lineage: Eukaryota; Metazoa; Chordata; Mammalia; Primates; Cercopithecidae
Rfam family: Metazoan signal recognition particle RNA
About the family: The signal recognition particle (SRP) is a universally conserved ribonucleoprotein.
Source: Ensembl
GCUGGGUGUGGCGGCUCACACCUGUAAUCCCAGCACUUUGGGAGGCCGAGGUAGGAGGAUCACCUGAGGUCAGGAGUUUGAGCUCAACCUGGCCAACAUGGUGAAACCCUGUCUCUA